This is a long non-coding RNA of Salvia hispanica, 309 nucleotides long. RefSeq lists it as uncharacterized. The record is from RefSeq and is a predicted model, not a curated record. NCBI's taxonomy places the organism in Eukaryota, Viridiplantae, Streptophyta, Magnoliopsida, Lamiales, Lamiaceae.
AUCUCAAAAUAAUCAGCAAAAAUUUAGAGAGAGUAAGAAAGCUUGGUGCCUUAGGAGCUGAUCUCAAGCAGCAACCAGCUCAAGAGGGGCGUCUUCGCGCGUCAUCUAAAAAUCAAGCUAAGGAGUUUGUUCGGCUAAGAGAUAGCCUUUGAGAUUGAACGUGGACGAGGAAGCGAAGGUGUUGGGACAAGAAUUUUAAAUAAGUAGUUAGGUAGCCCAAAGUAGCAUGUCUUCAUACGUGCUAUUUUGUCUUGGACUCUUCCGCUGCAAUCUAAAGUUAUGUUCUAGAAAGUUAUGAACUUAGUCUUG